GCGAGGAUGGCGGAAUGGCAGACGCGCUGGACUUAGGAUCCAGUGGGACUUCCCGUGGGGGUUCAACUCCCCCUCCUCGCA
This 81-nucleotide transfer RNA is filed under the name Pseudomonadota bacterium. Its description in RNAcentral is "tRNA-Leu". It matches the Rfam family "tRNA". From Rfam's summary of the family: Transfer RNA (tRNA) molecules are approximately 80 nucleotides in length. Lineage: Bacteria; Pseudomonadati; Pseudomonadota. The record is from RNAcentral. RNAcentral also lists the same sequence under 1 other name.